GGGCGAGUGGUGUAAUGGCAGCCACGCCAGCCUUAGGAGCUGGUGCCGCAAGGCGUAGGAGUUCAAGUCUCCUCUCGCCCA
RNAcentral lists this transfer RNA (81 nucleotides) under Armatimonadota bacterium. RNAcentral describes it as "tRNA-Leu". It matches the Rfam family "tRNA". Rfam says of the family: Transfer RNA (tRNA) molecules are approximately 80 nucleotides in length. The record is from RNAcentral. Lineage: Bacteria; Bacillati; Armatimonadota.